AGAGUUUGAUCCUGGCUCAGAACGAACGCUGGCGGCAGGCCUAACACAUGCAAGUCGAGGGGGAAGCCACUUUCGGGUGGUGGAGACCGGCGCACGGGUGAGUAACGCGUGGGAAUUUACCCUGGGGUGGGGAAUAACCGCUGGAAACGGCGGCUAAUACCGCAUACGCCUUUCGAGGGAAAGCUUUAGUGCCCUGGGAUGAGCCCGCGUUAGAUUAGGUAGUUGGUGGGGUAAAGGCCUACCAAGCCAUCGAUCUAUAGCUGGUCUGAGAGGAUGAUCAGCCACACUGGGACUGAGACACGGCCCAGACUCCUACGGGAGGCAGCAGUGGGGAAUAUUGGACAAUGGGGGCAACCCUGAUCCAGCCAUGCCGCGUGCGUGAAGAAGGCCUUAGGGUUGUAAAGCGCUUUCACUGGUGAAGAUGAUGACGGUAGCCAGAGAAGAAGCCCCGGCUAACUCCGUGCCAGCAGCCGCGGUAAUACGGAGGGGGCAAGCGUUGUUCGGAAUUACUGGGCGUAAAGGGCGCGUAGGCGGGAAGUCAAGUUAGGGGUGAAAGGCCUGGGCUCAACCUAGGAACUGCCUCUAAAACUGGCUAUCUAGAGUCCGGGAGAGGAUGGCGGAAUUCCCAGUGUAGAGGUGAAAUUCGUAGAUAUUGGGAAGAACACCAGUGGCGAAGGCGGCCAUCUGGUCCGGCACUGA
Molecule: ribosomal RNA, 699 nt
Filed under: uncultured bacterium
Lineage: Bacteria
Description: bacterial SSU rRNA
Rfam family: Bacterial small subunit ribosomal RNA
Source: RNAcentral